RNAcentral lists this ribosomal RNA (274 nucleotides) under uncultured bacterium. RNAcentral's name for it is "partial 16S ribosomal RNA". It matches the Rfam family "Bacterial small subunit ribosomal RNA", at positions 523 to 796 of the family's 1533-position model. The record is from RNAcentral.
AUACGUAUGGUGCGAACGUUGUUCGGAAUUACUGGGCGUAAAGCGUGCGCAGGCGGUUUUGUAAGACAGGCGUGAAAUCCCCGGGCUCAACCUGGGAAUGGCGCUUGUGACUGCAAGGCUAGAGUGCGUCAGAGGGGGGUAGAAUUCCACGUGUAGCAGUGAAAUGCGUAGAGAUGUGGAGGAAUACCGAUGGCGAAGGCAGCCCCCUGGGACGAGACUGACGCUCAUGCACGAAAGCGUGGGGAGCAAACAGGAUUAGAAACCCCAGUAGUCC